UACGUAGGGUGCAAGCGUUGUCCGGAAUUAUUGGGCGUAAAGAGCUCGUAGGCGGUUUGUCGCGUCGAAUGUGAAAACCCGGGGCUCAACCCCGGGCCUGCAUUCGAUACGGGCAGACUAGAGUUCGGUAGGGGAGUCUGGAAUUCCUGGUGUAGCGGUGAAAUGCGCAGAUAUCAGGAGGAACACCGGUGGCGAAGGCGGCUCUCUGGGGUAUUUCUGACGCUGAGGCACGAAAGCCAGGGGAGCGAACGGG
Molecule: ribosomal RNA, 253 nt
Filed under: uncultured bacterium
Lineage: Bacteria
Description: partial 16S ribosomal RNA
Rfam family: Bacterial small subunit ribosomal RNA
Source: RNAcentral